AACGUAGGUGGCGAGCGUUAUCCGGAUUUACUGGGCGUAAAGGGUGUGCAGGCGGGCUGUUAAGUGGUGUAUGAAAUAUCCCGGCUCAACCGGGAGAGGUUAUGCCAGACUGGCAGUCUAGAGAGCGAGAGAGGGACGUGGAAUUCCGGGUGUAGUGGUGAAAUGCGUAGAGAUCCGGAGGAACCCCAGAGGCGAAGGCGGCGUCCUGGCCCGACACUGACGCUCAUGUACGAAAGCGUGGGGAGCAAACAGG
This 253-nucleotide ribosomal RNA is filed under the name uncultured bacterium. RNAcentral's name for it is "partial 16S ribosomal RNA". It matches the Rfam family "Bacterial small subunit ribosomal RNA", at positions 524 to 776 of the family's 1533-position model. The record is from RNAcentral.